This is a long non-coding RNA of Salvia splendens (bonfire salvia), 799 nucleotides long. RefSeq lists it as uncharacterized. The record is from RefSeq and is a predicted model, not a curated record. The transcript is spliced from 2 exons. NCBI's taxonomy places the organism in Eukaryota, Viridiplantae, Streptophyta, Magnoliopsida, Lamiales, Lamiaceae.
UUCUCUAAACUAGUUCUCUCAUUUAGCCAUUUAGGAGCAUAGUCUCCUCAAUUCUCGAAACUCCGAAAGUUCGCCGGUGCCUAGAGAGUUUGAGGUGCUUCUACUCUCUAGGACGAAGUCGUUUUAUCUUUGGGGACACUACGCCAAUCCGUGAGCACUAGCCGAGGCGUAAUUUGUCUUGCGGAAAGAGGGCUUUCCUCGACUCGACUUAUAGUUAGUACUGUAAUUUUCUAUUUUCGUUGUAAUUUCCGUUUCAGUUGUAUUUGUAUUGCUUUUCGGUUGUAAUAGUUAGAGUACUGCCUGUAAACGGCUCGAGAAUUUUCCCAAUUUUAUCCAACAGGUAAAAGGAUCAGCACGCGGGGAAGUCGGGGGCGCUGACUUAGACUUAUUUGCACUUCGAGAUGGAUAUAUAAGUGUCACUCCUCUUGGUGCUUUGUCACGAGCAGACUCAGAUAGCCACGUCUACUUUGAACAGUGGCUCCCUCGUGUGGCUGAAUUCGUCGCAUCUUCAACUCCAUAAACACACAAGCUCUGCUCUUUCUCCAUUGUCACCUGUGACUCAGUUUUUUUUUAACCUCCUAAUAAGUUUGAGCUUCUUCUUUUCCUUGUGAAAGUAUUGUUUUGGUAAUUACAUUAACUAUUAGUCUUGUUUGGCAUAUACUACUUCAUUGAGACUUUAACUAAUAGUCUUGUUUGGCAAAUACUACUUCAUUGUAUUACUUAGACUUUAACUAUCAGUCUCUGUUGAUACGAUAUUAGUAAUUACCUUUAGCUAUACUGAAUAUCACUAUUAUUAUAA